This 395-nucleotide ribosomal RNA is filed under the name uncultured bacterium. RNAcentral's name for it is "bacterial SSU rRNA". It matches the Rfam family "Bacterial small subunit ribosomal RNA", at positions 505 to 898 of the family's 1533-position model. The record is from RNAcentral.
GUGUCAGCCGCCGCGGUAAUACGUAGGUGGCAAGCGUUGUCCGGAAUUACUGGGUGUAAAGGGUGCGUAGGCGGGCAUACAAGUCAGAUGUGAAAUCCCAGGGCUUAACCCUGGAACUGCAUUUGAAACUGUAUGUCUUGAGUGGAGGAGAGGUAAGUGGAAUUCCCAGUGUAGCGGUGAAAUGCGUAGAUAUUGGGAGGAACACCAGUGGCGAAGGCGACUUACUGGACUCUAACUGACGCUGAGGCACGAAAGCGUGGGGAGCAAACAGGAUUAGAUACCCUGGUAGUCCACGCUGUAAACGAUGAUUACUAGGUGUAGGGGGUAUCGACUCCCCCUGUGCCGCAGUUAACACAAUAAGUAAUCCACCUGGGGAGUACGGCCGCAAGGUUGAA